AUUGAACGCUGGCGGCAGGCCUAACACAUGCAAGUCGAGCGGUAGCACAGAGAGCUUGCUCUCGGGUGACGAGCGGCGGACGGGUGAGUAAUGUCUGGGAAACUGCCUGAUGGAGGGGGAUAACUACUGGAAACGGUAGCUAAUACCGCAUAACGUCGCAAGACCAAAGUGGGGGACCUUCGGGCCUCAUGCCAUCAGAUGUGCCCAGAUGGGAUUAGCUAGUAGGUGGGAUAACGGCUCACCUAGGCGACGAUCCCUAGCUGGUCUGAGAGGAUGACCAGCCACACUGGAACUGAGACACGGUCCAGACUCCUACGGGAGGCAGCAGUGGGGAAUAUUGCACAAUGGGCGCAAGCCUGAUGCAGCCAUGCCGCGUGUGUGAAGAAGGCCUUCGGGUUGUAAAGCACUUUCAGCGGGGAGGAAGGCGAUAAGGUUAAUAACCUUGUCGAUUGACGUUACCCGCAGAAGAAGCACCGGCUAACUCCGUGCCAGCAGCCGCGGUAAUACGGAGGGUGCAAGCGUUAAUCGGAAUUACUGGGCGUAAAGCGCACGCAGGCGGUCUGUCAAGUCGGAUGUGAAAUCCCCGGGCUCAACCUGGGAACUGCAUUCGAAACUGGCAGGCUAGAGUCUUGUAGAGGGGGGUAGAAUUCCAGGUGUAGCGGUGAAAUGCGUAGAGAUCUGGAGGAAUACCGGUGGCGAAGGCGGCCCCCUGGACAAAGACUGACGCUCAGGUGCGAAAGCGUGGGGAGCAAACAGGAUUAGAUACCCUGGUAGUCCACGCCGUAAACGAUGUCGAUUUAGAGGUUGUGCCCUUGAGGCGUGGCUUCCGGAGCUAACGCGUUAAAUCGACCGCCUGGGGAGUACGGCCGCAAGGUUAAAACUCAAAUGAAUUGACGGGGGCCCGCACAAGCGGUGGAGCAUGUGGUUUAAUUCGAUGCAACGCGAAGAACCUUACCUGGUCUUGACAUCCACAGAACUUAGCAGAGAUGCUUUGGUGCCUUCGGGAACUGUGAGACAGGUGCUGCAUGGCUGUCGUCAGCUCGUGUUGUGAAAUGUUGGGUUAAGUCCCGCAACGAGCGCAACCCUUAUCCUUUGUUGCCAGCGGUUCGGCCGGGAACUCAAAGGAGACUGCCAGUGAUAAACUGGAGGAAGGUGGGGAUGACGUCAAGUCAUCAUGGCCCUUACGACCAGGGCUACACACGUGCUACAAUGGCAUAUACAAAGAGAAGCGACCUCGCGAGAGCAAGCGGACCUCAUAAAGUAUGUCGUAGUCCGGAUUGGAGUCUGCAACUCGACUCCAUGAAGUCGGAAUCGCUAGUAAUCGUAGAUCAGAAUGCUACGGUGAAUACGUUCCCGGGCCUUGUACACACCGCCCGUCACACCAUGGGAGUGGGUUGCAAAAGAAGUAGGUAGCUUAACCUUCGGGAGGGCGCUUACCACUUUGUGAUUCAUGACUGGGGUG
This 1462-nucleotide ribosomal RNA is filed under the name Klebsiella sp. SOZ1-7042. RNAcentral's name for it is "bacterial SSU rRNA". It matches the Rfam family "Bacterial small subunit ribosomal RNA". The record is from RNAcentral. Lineage: Bacteria; Pseudomonadati; Pseudomonadota; Gammaproteobacteria; Enterobacterales; Enterobacteriaceae.